UAAUUUCUGGGAUAUUUGAGAUGCUCUAUAUUUUGAACCUACAUUACUAAAACGGGAGUUCAACAUUUAGGCGUAGAUAUGUACUUUCUUGUGAGACCUUUUGACGGCUUUGAGGGCGAUAGAAACAUCUGUGAGGACACCCACCUAUCGGAGAGAUAGGUGUCAAAAUUAGAACGGCGGUAUUUCGGAUUAUAC
Molecule: non-coding RNA, 195 nt
Filed under: Clostridium aciditolerans
Lineage: Bacteria; Bacillati; Bacillota; Clostridia; Eubacteriales; Clostridiaceae
Description: 6S / SsrS RNA
Rfam family: 6S / SsrS RNA
About the family: E. coli 6S RNA was the first non coding RNA to be sequenced, but its function was unknown until recently. It consists of 184 nucleotides that fold into an extended hairpin structure with a large single-stranded internal bulge.
Source: Rfam by way of RNAcentral